Molecule: ribosomal RNA, 164 nt
Filed under: Salicornia europaea (common glasswort)
Lineage: Eukaryota; Viridiplantae; Streptophyta; Magnoliopsida; Caryophyllales; Amaranthaceae
Also listed under: 19 other names
Description: 5.8S ribosomal RNA
Rfam family: 5.8S ribosomal RNA
About the family: 5.8S ribosomal RNA (5.8S rRNA) is a component of the large subunit of the eukaryotic ribosome. It is transcribed by RNA polymerase I as part of the 45S precursor that also contains 18S and 28S rRNA.
Source: RNAcentral
AAAACGACUCUCGGCAACGGAUAUCUCGGCUCUCGCAUCGAUGAAGAACGUAGCGAAAUGCGAUACUUGGUGUGAAUUGCAGAAUCCCGUGAACCAUCGAGUCUUUGAACGCAAGUUGCGCCCGAAGCCUUCGGGCCGAGGGCACGUCUGCCUGGGCGUCACGC